Molecule: ribosomal RNA, 253 nt
Filed under: uncultured bacterium
Lineage: Bacteria
Description: partial 16S ribosomal RNA
Rfam family: Bacterial small subunit ribosomal RNA
Source: RNAcentral
UACGGGGGGGGCAAGCGUUGUUCGGAAUUACUGGGCGUAAAGGGCUCGUAGGCGGCCAACUAAGUCGGAUGUGAAAUCCCCAGGCUUAACCUGGGAACUGCAUCCGAUACUGGAUGGCUUGAAUCCGGGAGAGGGAUGCGGAAUUCCAGGUGUAGCGGUGAAAUGCGUAGAUAUCGUCAGGAAUGCCAGUGGUGAAGACGGGUGACUGGGCUGGUUCUGACACUGAGGCACGAAAGCGUGGGGAGCGAACGGG